Molecule: long non-coding RNA, 517 nt
Organism: Humulus lupulus (European hop)
Lineage: Eukaryota; Viridiplantae; Streptophyta; Magnoliopsida; Rosales; Cannabaceae
Exons: 3
Source: RefSeq, a predicted model, not a curated record
UUUUCUGUUGUUUAAUGGUGGCUAAACCAAACCCUGGUUAUGCUAUCUAUCAAAGCUAGAAUAAUUAAUUCACAGUUUGAUGUUGGGACAACCUAACACUGUUUUUUAAUUUUAUUUUUAAUCUUUAUUGCAGGUAUAUAUCAUAGACUAUGGUCUUGCAAAAAAGUAUAGCGAUCUUCAGACGCACAAGCACAUUCCAUACAGGGAAAACAAGAAUCUCACAGGAACAACUUGUUAUGCAAGUGUUAACACUCACCUUGGAGUUGAGCAAAGCAGAAGAGAUGAUUUGGAGUCUCUUGGUUAUGUGCUUAUGUAUUUUUUGAGGGGAAGGUUGGAUACUUAUGUGAUAUGCUGAAAUCCAUUUUCCUUUGUUUCAUUGCUCUGUUUCACCAUAUUAUUUACUUAUUUUCUUUACUAGUCUUCCUUGGCAGGGAUUAAAAGCAGGUACGAAAAAACAGAAAUACGACAAGAACAGUGAAAAGAAGAUGCUUACUCCCAUAGAGGUAUGAUCUUAAGC